AUUGAACGCUGGCGGCAGGCCUAACACAUGCAAGUCGAGCGGAUGAAGGGAGCUUGCUCCUGGAUUCAGCGGCGGACGGGUGAGUAAUGCCUAGGAAUCUGCCUGGUAGUGGGGGAUAACGUCCGGAAACGGGCGCUAAUACCGCAUACGUCCUGAGGGAGAAAGUGGGGGAUCUUCGGACCUCACGCUAUCAGAUGAGCCUAGGUCGGAUUAGCUGGUUGGUGGGGUAAAGGCCUACCAAGGCGACGAUCCGUAACUGGUCUGAGAGGAUGAUCAGUCACACUGGAACUGAGACACGGUCCAGACUCCUACGGGAGGCAGCAGUGGGGAAUAUUGGACAAUGGGCGAAGGCCUGAUCCAGCCAUGCCGCGUGUGUGAAGAAGGUCUUCGGAUUGUAAAGCACUUUAAGUUGGGAGGAAGGGCAGUAAGUUAAUACCUUGCUGUUUUGACGUUACCAACAGAAUAAGCACCGGCUAACUUCGUG
This 484-nucleotide ribosomal RNA is filed under the name uncultured bacterium. Its description in RNAcentral is "partial 16S ribosomal RNA". It matches the Rfam family "Bacterial small subunit ribosomal RNA", at positions 30 to 507 of the family's 1533-position model. The record is from RNAcentral.